CAAUCAUUAUAGACUUUACAUAUAUGUCACAUAUAAUAUAAUGUUUAAAUAUAUUAUAUAUAAUGUGAUAAGGCCUGUUCGAGACAAAAAGCCAUUGAAUACCCACUUUGAAAAUCACAGAGCUCUCAUUGACUCAGAGUGGGAAUCCUGGUUACGAUGUUGGUAAUGGGCUGCGGUUAGCCUGUGAUGAGAAGACGUGCUCUGUCUUUCCAUUGCAGGCACAGCAGUGUAAACUUGGAAAAGGGAAGAGCAGCAGGGUCCUGGUAGCCCAGUUUUUGCCAUGCUGAGAUGAGGACACAGGGUUAAGAAGGCAUGAAGAAGAAGAAGUGGUCCAUGCCUAUGAUCCGACUAUCUGAGAUGCUGAGGCCAGAGAAUCAGAAGCCUUAGCUGCCUAGCAAGGUCAAGGCCAGCCUGGGUUACACGCUCAAAUAAGCAAACAGAAAAACUGGAGCAACAAAGAAAGAGAGGGGAGAACAUCGGAGAGGGGAGAGAGAUACACAGACAGAGAUUGACAGAUAGAUAGAUGUUCAUUAAGAAAGAGAAAACAAACACAUUGUAAAAACAAAAGAACACUGGGCUAUAGAGUGAGUUCUAGUUUAGUCAGGGUUACACCGAGAAAUCCUGUCUUCAAAACAAAACAAAACAACAAACAACGAGGAAAACAACUGGGGAGAAGAAUUAAGAGAAGUUAAGAGUCUGGAGUAAAGAGUUCUAGGAGUCUCACAAGCAUUAAGCCCUUGAAAAAGGAGAAACUGCUUUCUGUGUUGUCAGGGAGUGAAGAAACUUUAUCACCUAGACAGGAAGCUCAUCUCAGCCUUCCUGGUCUGCAUCUCAGAGCUUUGGCAAACACUAGGAACCCAGCCAACUGGUCUGGGGCAGCCCUCUUCCUGCUGAUGCCUUGUGAGACUUGUGACACAGCAGGUGUGCUGACCCCUUCUGCAUUCCUGAGAGAGAAUUUCCAGUCUGUCCAGUAACUCCAGAAAGUUGUUCUCUCACCUCCAUAUAUGGACAAUGGCAUGUGUGCAACCGCCCCCUCCCGUCCCCCACUCACACUUAGAGAAAGAAGAAAAAAAGACCAGCGUGCACUAUGCAGAAAGUUCCAGAGCAUCCUGGACUACAGAGUUCGACCCUGUCUCAAAACAAACAAACAAACAAACAGGAAAUAAAGGGGGAAAAAAGGAAGCUAAGGAAUUUACAGAGAAAUGUUAGGACUGUUAACCUAAAGAUUUCUUUCCGUUUGGGGUCUGGGUUGAGGAAAAUCCAUCCACUUCUCAGGAGACUAUGAAUUGUCACUAGAAGGCCAUUCACCUUUUUUCUUUUUUCUUUUUUUUUUAAGAUUUACUUUAUUAUUUUAUGUGUAUGGGUGUUUGCACAUAUGUUUGUGCACCACGUGUGUGCCUGAUGCCCUCAGAGGUCAGAAGAGGAGAGUCUGAUUCCCUGCAAUUGGAAUUAUUAGCCACCGUGUUGUUUCCAGGACUCAAACCCGGGUCCUCCACUCUUAACCACUGAGCCAACUGCCUAGCCCCAUCGUUCCACAUGAGUCAAAUGACUCUCCUUGGACUUAGUCAUCAAACAUGAACGCUCUUGCCUACCUAUGCAGGAAGUAAAAGUUCUAAGUCACUGUGUGCCAGUGAGGUUAAAACAAACAAAACUUAAAUAGAAGGAAAUGGAACAAAACCAUUCCUAGAGCAGGCGGUGUCCUGUCUUGCCAUAGCUCAUGCUACAACAGCUCUGGGCUCAUAGGCUCUGGAAGAAGGUACUAGAUGCUUGGUGCCCAGACUGGAGCAGGCAGCAUCCUUUAAGUCCCUAAUUCUAAAGUUCAGUUGAAACCAACCUUUCAGUUUUGCCUGUUGUUCAGAGUUUGUCUCCAAUUGAACUGCACUCUCAGAAACCUCCCUGCUGGCUGCUUUUUCAGAGUCUCUGUCAUGAACGUUUCUACACUCCCCCAGCCCACUCCCAGAAGCAGCAGUGCUGGUCACUGGCACCUGAAAGUCUCCAUCAGAGGAUAGAUGAGCAUCAGGGACGUUGUCUCUUAUGGCCCUGUACUGGCUGGUUUUCUGUGUCACCUUGACACAAGCUAGAGUCAUCACAGAGAAAGGAACCUCAACUGAGAAGAUGUUUCCAUUAGACCCAACUGUAGGACAUUUUCUCAAUUAGUGAUCAAUGGGGAAGGCCCAGCCCAUUGUGGGUAGUUCCGCCCCUGAGCUGGCUGUCCAAGGUUACAGAAGAAAACAGGCUGAGCAAGCUAUGGAAAGCAAGCCAGUAAACAGCACCCUCCAUGGCAUCAGCUUCUGCCUCCAGGUUCCAGCCUGCUUGAGUUCCUGUCCUGACUUCCUCCGAUGAUGGACUAUGAUCUGGAAGUGUGAACUAAAUAAACCCUUUCCUCCCCCAACUUGCUGUUUUGGUCAUGGUGUCGCAGCAAUAAAACCCUAAGACAGAUCUCCAACAAAAUGAUCUAAAACUGAGGGCCUGUUGGGUACAAUGACAGGAGAGAUUUGGAUGAGUCUGUAGCUAAUUGCACUAUCCUGUCACUGAAUUCCACCCUCCCACUAACUUUUUGUUUACAAGAGCUUAUAAGAACUUAUAAUUGUUUAUAAGAACUCUGAAGAGAGAGUCUUGCCUAGCCUUGCUAGCCAAGAACUCACAAUGUAGACCAGCAUGACCUCAACCUCUCAGAGCUCUGCCUGUCCCUGCCUCCCUGAUUAAAGGCAUGCGCCACCAGCCUAGCUCCCUUUGAACCUUUGGUCCUUCCUCCCCCCUCUCUCAGGACUGAGACUGUAAGCCUGCACCACUACAUCUGGCUUGUAUGGUGCUUUGUCUCAAACUCAAACUUAUUAGGCAAGCACUCCACCAACUGAACCACCUCUCCUGCACCUUGUAAAAGGAUUCUUAUAAGUCCACGCUCUUCCUGUUCUGAGAGUUUCAAGCAUCCCUUAGAGGUCCUUGAGACAGUUCCAGUAAGUGAGUCUCGCUGUCGACUGAAAUGGACAAUCCCACUGUCCUGAAACAGUCCCUGAGAGCUUGGUAUAAUCCAUCCUUGCAUCCCUCAUGCCUAGUGUCACGUCUGCUAUUCAGAGAGUCAAUAAAUAUUUGUCAAAUCAA
Long non-coding RNA from Mus musculus (house mouse), 3102 nucleotides. RefSeq annotates it as predicted gene, 41738. The transcript is spliced from 3 exons. NCBI's taxonomy places the organism in Eukaryota, Metazoa, Chordata, Mammalia, Rodentia, Muridae. The record is from RefSeq and is a predicted model, not a curated record.